AUACGUAGGUGGCAAGCGUUGUCCGGAAUUAUUGGGCGUAAAGCGCGCGCAGGUGGUUCCUUAAGUCUGAUGUGAAAGCCCCCGGCUCAACCGGGGAGGGUCAUUGGAAACUGGGGAACUUGAGUGCAGAAGAGGAUAGUGGAAUUCCAAGUGUAGCGGUGAAAUGCGUAGAGAUUUGGAGGAACACCAGUGGCGAAGGCGACUUUCUGGUCUGUAACUGACGCUGAGGCGCGAAAGCGUGGGGAGCAAACAGGAUUAGAUACCCUGGUAGUCCACGCCGUAAACGAUGAGUGCUAAGUGUUGGGGGGUUUCCGCCCCUCAGUGCUGCAGCUAACGCAUUAAGCACUCCGCCUGGGGAGUACGGUCGCAAGACUGAAACUCAAAUGAAUUGACGGGG
Molecule: ribosomal RNA, 397 nt
Filed under: uncultured bacterium
Lineage: Bacteria
Description: partial 16S ribosomal RNA
Rfam family: Bacterial small subunit ribosomal RNA
Source: RNAcentral